Molecule: transfer RNA, 69 nt
Filed under: Semnornis frantzii
Lineage: Eukaryota; Metazoa; Chordata; Aves; Piciformes; Ramphastidae
Description: tRNA-Asp
Source: RNAcentral
GGUGCAUUAGUAAAACCAUUACAUGGCCUUGUCAAGACCAAAUCACAGACUCAACCUCUGUAUGCUCCU